Molecule: ribosomal RNA, 468 nt
Filed under: uncultured bacterium
Lineage: Bacteria
Description: partial 16S ribosomal RNA
Rfam family: Bacterial small subunit ribosomal RNA
Source: RNAcentral
GACGAACGCUGGCGGCGUGCUUAACACAUGCAAGUCGAACGGAAAGGCCCUGCUUUUGUGGGGUGCUCGAGUGGCGAACGGGUGAGUAACACGUGAGUAACCUGCCCUUGACUUUGGGAUAACUUUAGGAAACUGGGGCUAAUACCGGAUAGGAGCUCCUGCUGCAUGGUGGGGGUUGGAAAGUUUCGGCGGUUGGGGAUGGACUCGCGGCUUAUCAGCUUGUUGGUGGGGUAGUGGCUUACCAAGGCUUUGACGGGUAGCCGGCCUGAGAGGGUGACCGGCCACAUUGGGACUGCGAUACGGCCCAGACUCCUACGGGCGGCAGCAGUGGGGAAUAUUGCACAAUGGGCGGAAGCCUGAUGCAGCAACGCCGCGUGCGUGAUGACGGCCUUCGGGUUGUAAACCGCUUUCGCCUGUGCCGAAGCGUGAGUGACGGUAAUGGGUAAAGAAGCACCGGCUAACUACGUG